GCUCUGAUGAUGUAAUGGUGAGCAUACUUGUCUGCCAGGCAUGGCGUGCGGGUUCGAAUCCCGUUCAGAGCU
This 72-nucleotide transfer RNA is filed under the name Lachnospiraceae bacterium. Its description in RNAcentral is "tRNA-Gly". It matches the Rfam family "tRNA". From Rfam's summary of the family: Transfer RNA (tRNA) molecules are approximately 80 nucleotides in length. RNAcentral also lists the same sequence under 2 other names. The record is from RNAcentral. Lineage: Bacteria; Bacillati; Bacillota; Clostridia; Lachnospirales; Lachnospiraceae.